Molecule: ribosomal RNA, 163 nt
Filed under: Nitzschia navis-varingica
Lineage: Eukaryota; Bacillariophyta; Bacillariophyceae; Bacillariales; Bacillariaceae
Description: 5.8S ribosomal RNA
Rfam family: 5.8S ribosomal RNA
About the family: 5.8S ribosomal RNA (5.8S rRNA) is a component of the large subunit of the eukaryotic ribosome. It is transcribed by RNA polymerase I as part of the 45S precursor that also contains 18S and 28S rRNA. Functionally, it is thought that 5.8S rRNA may be involved in ribosome translocation.
Source: RNAcentral
ACAACUUUCAGCGGUGGAUGUCUAGGUUCCCACAACGAUGAAGAACGCAGCGAAAUGCGAUACGUAAUGCGAAUUGCAAGACCUCGUGAAUCAUCAAAAUUUUGAACGCACAUUGCGCUUUCGGGUUUCCCCCGGGAGCAUGCUUGUCUGAGUGUCUGUGAAC